AGUGAACGCUGGCGGUAGGCCUAACACAUGCAAGUCGAACGGCAGCACAGAAGAGCUUGCCCUCUGGGUGGCGAGUGGCGGACGUGUGAGGAAUACAUCGGAAUCUACUCUGUCGUGGGGGAUAACGUAGGGAAACUUACGCUAAUACCGCAUACGACCUACGGGUGAAAGCAGGGGAUCUUCGGACCUUGCGCGAUUGAAUGAGCCGAUGUCGGAUUAGCUAGUUGGCGGGGUAAAGGCCCACCAAGGCGACGAUCCGUAGCUGGUCUGAGAGGAUGAUCAGCCACACUGGAACUGAGACACGGUCCAGACUCCUACGGGAGGCAGCAGUGGGGUAUAUUGGACAAUGGGCGCAAGCCUGAGCCAGCCAUACCGCGUGGGUGAAGAAGGCCUUCGGGUUGUAAAGCCCUUUUGUUGGGAAAGAAAUCCAGCUGGCUAAUACCCGGUUGGGAUGACGGUACCCAAAGAAUAAGCACCGGCUAACUUCGUGCCAGCCGCCGCCGUAA
Molecule: ribosomal RNA, 506 nt
Filed under: uncultured bacterium
Lineage: Bacteria
Description: partial 16S ribosomal RNA
Rfam family: Bacterial small subunit ribosomal RNA
Source: RNAcentral